RNAcentral lists this ribosomal RNA (477 nucleotides) under uncultured bacterium. RNAcentral's name for it is "bacterial SSU rRNA". It matches the Rfam family "Bacterial small subunit ribosomal RNA", at positions 29 to 507 of the family's 1533-position model. The record is from RNAcentral.
AUUGAACGCUGGCGGCAUGCUUUACACAUGCAAGUCGAACGGUAACAGGUUAAGCUGACGAGUGGCGAACGGGUGAGUAAUGCAUCGGAACGUGCCCAGUCGUGGGGGAUAACGCAGCGAAAGCUGUGCUAAUACCGCAUACGAUCUACGGAUGAAAGCGGGGGAUCGCAAGACCUCGCGCGGACGGAGCGGCCGAUGGCAGAUUAGGUAGUUGGUGAGGUAAAGGCUCACCAAGGCGACGAUCCGUAGCUGGUCUGAGAGGAUGAUCAGCCACACCGGAACUGAGACACGGUCCGGACUCCUACGGGAGGCAGCAGUGGGGAAUAUUGCGCAAUGGGCGAAAGCCUGACGCAGCCAUACCGCGUGUGUGAAGAAGGCCUUCGGGUUGUAAAGCACUUUCAGUGGGGAGGAAAAGCUGGUGGCUAAUAUCCAUCGGCCGUGACGCUACCCACAGAAGAAGCACCGGCUAAUUCCGUG